UGAGGAAUAUUGGUCAAUGGACGCAAGUCUGAACCAGCCAAGUAGCGUGCAGGAUGACGGCCCUAUGGGUUGUAAACUGCUUUUGUUUGGGAAUAAUCGACAUUACGUGUAAUGUUUUGCAUGUACCAUUCGAAUAAGGACCGGCUAAUUCCGUGCCAGCAGCCGCGGUAAUACGGAAGGUCCAGGCGUUAUCCGGAUUUAUUGGGUUUAAAGGGAGUGUAGGCGGUUGGUUAAGCGUGUUGUGAAAUGUAGAUGCUCAACAUCUGACUUGCAGCGCGAACUGGCUGACUUGAGUACACACGACGUAGGCGGAAUUCAUGGUGUAGCGGUGAAAUGCUUAGAUAUCAUGAAGAACACCGAUUGCGAAGGCAGCUUGCGGGAGUGUUACUGACGCUUAAGCUCGAAGGUGCGGGUAUCGAACAGG
Molecule: ribosomal RNA, 424 nt
Filed under: Verrucomicrobiota bacterium
Lineage: Bacteria; Pseudomonadati; Verrucomicrobiota
Description: Verrucomicrobia bacterium partial 16S ribosomal RNA
Rfam family: Bacterial small subunit ribosomal RNA
Source: RNAcentral